ACUGGAGUUUGAUCCUGGCUCAGAUUGAACGCUGGCGGCAUGCCUUACACAUGCAAGUCGAACGGUAACGGGUCUUCGGAUGCUGACGAGUGGCGAACGGGUGAGUAAUACAUCGGAACGUGCCCGAUCGUGGGGGAUAACGGAGCGAAAGCUUUGCUAAUACCGCAUACGAUCUACGGAUGAAAGCAGGGGACCGCAAGGCCUUGCGCGGACGGAGCGGCCGAUGGCAGAUUAGGUAGUUGGUGGGUAAAGGCUCACCAAGCCAACGAUCUGUAGCUGGUCUGAGAGGACGACCAGCCACACUGGAACUGAGACACGGUCCAGACUCCGUACGGGAGCAGCAGUAGGGAAUGUGGGCAAUGGACGCAAGUCUGAUCCCAGCCCA
Molecule: ribosomal RNA, 385 nt
Filed under: uncultured Acidovorax sp.
Lineage: Bacteria; Pseudomonadati; Pseudomonadota; Betaproteobacteria; Burkholderiales; Comamonadaceae
Description: bacterial SSU rRNA
Rfam family: Bacterial small subunit ribosomal RNA
Source: RNAcentral